Molecule: long non-coding RNA, 251 nt
Filed under: Gallus gallus (chicken)
Lineage: Eukaryota; Metazoa; Chordata; Aves; Galliformes; Phasianidae
Description: long non-coding RNA NONGGAT008325
Source: RNAcentral
CAGAAAUCUCAAAGAGAUCUUUCCUUGCAAAUGUCUCUGCAUGGCUUACAGGACAGAAUAUGAGAAUAAUCCAGCACAAGACAGUGGGGACUGAAGAGGAAACCCGAAUCUAUUUACCAUUAAGAAGCCCUGUACUGAACUGACAGGAACAGAAUGUAACACUGCUCCAAAGUCUUGGCAUGCCAGUGUUGCCUUUGUGUAUUUGAAGUAUUUCCACUGGUCUUCGGAGUCCUGUCAUCCACCAAUGGUUA